GGGCAUUGACUAGAGCAGUGAAGUCAGGUAUAGUUUCUGACAUCGCUAUGCACAGGAUUGCUGAGAGGUGUGAGUCAGGAAGAGAUUAUCUGUGCCUUGACUUGUUAUAUUUCAUCACUGAAAAUGUCUGUUCACAUACAUAGGUUACCCAAACAGUACCAACAUCUUCUGAGUGUCAAGAUCGUCGUAUGAACUGGAAAUAUACUGCAGCAUGAUUUGGGUACCACAUGUUUAAUAAAGGAAACUCACUAAACCAAUAAACUGCAAAUGAACCGUGAAGUUCAAGCAGUGCUCACCAGCAGCAACACAGAAACUAGAUCCCACAAAACACAGUGGGGAAAUGGCUGCCUAAAUAUGAUCCCCAAUCAGAGACAACGAUAAACAGCUGCCUCUGAUUGGGAACCAUACCAGGCCAACAUAGAAAUAAAUGCACUAGAUCACCCACCCUAGUCACACCCCGACCUAACCAAAAUAGAGAACAAAAAAGGCUCUCUAUGGUCAGGGCGUGACACUGGGCAUGAUUCCUAAUCUUUGGAUAGUUGUGUUCAUCAAGAGAUGCAUAGAACCUCGUCAGUGACAUUGUUUUGAAUAGUUCUCCAAUCACUGCAUCAGACUGAAGAUCGAUAAACUCAAGUUGCAGGUCAGUGGGAGCGUUAUCCACAUUGAAGGUGAAAGGAGAGAAAACCAACAGCAUGUCAUUUUCCAACACUUAAUCCUCAAAAUUAUGAGAAAACUCACCUUUCAAAGCGCGCAGCAGAGAUGUAUACUUCACCCACUGGUCAUCUGAUAGGGAACAGACUAGUAGUGUCAGAAGGUCAUCUGAUAGGGAACAGACUAGUAGUGUCGGUAGGUCAUCUGAUAGGGAACAGACUAGUAGUGUCAGGUCAUCUGAUAGGGUACAGACUAGUAGUGUCAGGUCAUCUGAUAGGGAACAGACUAGUAGUGUCAGAAGGUCAUCUGAUAGGGAACAGACUAGUAGCGUCAGAAGGUCAUCUGAUAGGGAACAGACUAGUAGUGUCAGGUCAUCUGAUAGGGUACAGACUAGUAGUGUC
This is a long non-coding RNA of Oncorhynchus tshawytscha (Chinook salmon), 1052 nucleotides long. The record is from Ensembl. NCBI's taxonomy places the organism in Eukaryota, Metazoa, Chordata, Actinopteri, Salmoniformes, Salmonidae.